Non-coding RNA from Physcomitrium patens, 3049 nucleotides. The record is from RefSeq and is a predicted model, not a curated record. NCBI's taxonomy places the organism in Eukaryota, Viridiplantae, Streptophyta, Bryopsida, Funariales, Funariaceae.
UAUAUAUAAAAGUACAGAUUUUUUGUGUCUACUCAAUCAAAUGACAAUAAUACUAGAAACUUUGCCUGCGUCCUCUUGUGAAUAGUUGCCAUUCCUACUCACUUCGUCAUACUGCAAAUCGACAUGAAAAUAGGGGGCCCGUUGUGAAAACUGUAUCAUCUGAAUAUGACUACGAUUGCAUUACGGGAGCUACGACACCACGGCAAAGCAGAAGCACAAAAUUUGGGCAGUGUUCCAAUCGCGGAGUAGUUGUGCAGGUUUUAAGCAGUGCAGGAACUGGUCCUGAGUCGUCUUCAUCCAUUUCCUGUAAUAGCUUGUGAAGUCAGCCCGCAGCACACGAAAUACACAAGUACGCAGGAAAUUAGGCGAAGCCGGUCAUUGAAUGAAGUGAUUAUUCUCAGCUGGCAGAGCAUCAUUGUCAAAGGGUGCGUACUGCCGCACUUGAUGGCUUGGAUCGAGCAAUUUGUGGAAUUUUGGCACGCCAACAGUUCCAAGAGGGUGCACAUGGAGCUGGAGCGGGUGGGAGGAUUCAACAACGAAGUCAAUGGAGGGGGCCUCAAGACAGGGGGGAGGAUAAAGUCAUGAAGGUCGACAAGGAGCGUUUCAUGCCCUCCCUGUUUUACAAGCGAGCAGGGAGAGCAUUGAGAUCAUCACAUCUGCAUAUUGAGAAGCAAAUCAUGGUUAAUUGUACAUUGUGGACGGUAUUUACGAUUGCCUUGUACAAAUCUGCCCUUGAAGAGAUUAUUGAAGAUUAAGAUGGGUGAUGUUCAUGACUCGAAAACUCGUGGGUACAAAGACAUGGAAUUAAUUCGGAGUUGGCAGAGCGUUUUUGGAGUUACACAGGUAAGUUGCCCUCCGGCGUACAUUUUUUGCACGACGAUGAAGAGUGCAAGUAAAUGCUAGCAAUUGCACCGCUCUGCAAAUGACUCCCAGAACGUUUCUGCCCUGGUAAUUGUGUGAAGGAGGGUAUUAAUUUAUUACACGCAAUGUUGCUGGUGCUACCUUUUUGUUCCUGUCUCUUACGCCUCCGCUUGUUGUGGACAAGUUGCAAAUGCUCACAUCGGACCGCACGCAAAAUCAAAUAGGAACUGUGAACUUGCAUUUCAUGUUCAGCUGGGGAUGAAGCUCACUCUAUCAUGUGUGUAUCGCUCAUUCUGUGAUUUUUUAAUUUUCGUGAAGUCUCGAAUGAUCGACUGCUAUCAUCACCGGCAUGUGCUUCAGAGCAGUAAUCCCUCAUUGCUGACCUCAAUAUUUCGUGGAAGAGGGUUAAAAACAAACUUGUCUUACCCGUGUUCUAUCCCAUGCUUCAGUAUUAGUUCUAGUAAAUAAUGGAUUUCGUUCUGCUGCUCAUUGUUGAGGUUUUAGUCUCUUGAUCACUACCUGAAGUUCCAGUACAUGGGUCUGGGGAGGCUUUACUGUCGAGCUAGUUGCAAGUUUAUCUACAAUGGUGGAGUGAAUAUUGUGCAACAAAAGGAUGUGGACAAAAGGGUAGCAGCCAGAUGAGCAUAGUGGACAACUGCCAUUUUUUUAACAAAGGAGGUGUUAAUCGUGAUGUUCGCAACGCGCAAGGAUUCCGUCUACUCUUGCCCUCAUCCUUAUGAGUUUUUGAGAAUCCUCCUGGAUGAAUAUGAAAAAUAGCUCCAUCAAUAUUUGCGCAGUUUUAUGGCUUUUCGAGGAUCAAGGCAUUGGAAGGUCGGACGACAACGGUGAGAGUUAUGUUGAAGCACGUUUCUCAACCCCUGACAAAAAAACAGGCUUGACUUGAAUAAUGGUGCAGUUUUACUAACUGUUUGUAGCGUCAUUCAAGGAUUUUCUUACAGCUGAGAAACCAGAGGCGACGUACAGUCCGAGAAGUUCUGUCCGUGUCGGUCGUGUGUUGAAACUGAUGGGUAGCCUUCGAUAGGGGGGGUACUUGACCUUCACAAACUUUUGCAGUUGACCCCAGCGGCGUUGACGUAUGAUAUUUACAAUAACAGCAGUGCAAAGCACAUCAUUGACUACCCACAGACGUCUAUCACCAUUUUUCUGUCGCCGCGUUGACCUUUGUGAAAGGAGGACUUGUAAGAGAGAUCAAGGGAGGUAUUUCAAGUAAUGUUAUAUCACCCAAAUUCAUCGCUCUGCUGUGCGGACUCUCUCCCAGUCGGUUAGCAAGCAGGGACAUCAACUCUUGCAACAGCCUUGUGAGAGAAUAGCAUGUGAUCUGUGGUGUUUCUAGUUCAAUUGCACAAGCAGUCAUACCAAAGAACGUGGCCCUCGUUAAUCGCACAAAAUUUAUCACAAGAUAAGCAACAUCGGAAGCCUCUCGGGAUGAGAGAUGACGAGCUUGUCCAACUUCUCAUUUUUCACAAGUAACAACAGUGCAUAGCAAACUCUCGACGUGAAGGCAAAAUUUGCAUUUGGAUGGUUGUUGCAUUUGAAGGAAAAAUUUCACGCUGUGCUGGUCAAAGAGGAGCACUUGUGAGCGUGGGACGCUCAUCUGCUGUUGAUAUUCCUCGGUACAUGUUGAAAGGCCACCGCAUCGUUUAGCAUGAACUGUCUCCUCUUUCUUUGAAGAUAUAUGAGAUGUAACUUCUCACUCUGGUUGGGCUGGAAUUCAUUCUUUCCCUUGUAACAGCUUCCUUCUACGGACCUGGAUGUUGAUCUUUCGAGAGAACUCAUGUUGGGAUACUUCAGAUAGAACCACUUAUCUCAUUCGGCUUACAGGAAUGGCCUCCGUGGGAUUAUGGCGGUUUCGUCGUGUUUUUUGGAAAUCGUAGCAUGGUUACCUGGCGGAACAGGCCACUAGGUUGCAAUCUAGACUGAAAAACUGGAUACAAGAGGAUCGUCACCGACAAACCCAAUUUACCAAUUCAGACUAGUGUUUUUGCCCAUUGGAUUGUCGAUGUGAUUGAUUACAUUCUGAUCAGCUUGCUAGCAAUGCGGCGUGUUGCAUAAACAGGUGCUGCGCGAGCUAUUGAUCAAUCUGUGUUCAAGCACAUCAGCUUUAUUUAUGGAAAUGUCGUUGUUCUGAAUAUCGAAAUGAAUCGGAUCCGCAGAAGGUUUUUCGGCA